Molecule: long non-coding RNA, 1369 nt
Filed under: Callithrix jacchus (white-tufted-ear marmoset)
Lineage: Eukaryota; Metazoa; Chordata; Mammalia; Primates; Cebidae
Description: lncRNA (ENSCJAG00000073939.1)
Source: RNAcentral
AUUCCCUUAUACAUUAGAACUAACACUGGUUUAUUCUUCCUUUACCUAGAAUUAGAGAAAUCAUGUUCAAAGAAGAUGGACCCUAAGUUAUUCCAAAUAGAGAGAUUCUUCUCUAAAACCUUGGACACAUGUGGGAUACUGGAUGUAAAGAGUUAUCCACCCUAGUAUGUUGUACACCAGAAGCAUAUUUCCCUGACCUCUUUGUGGGACUCAUGACAACAGUACCUUUACUUAGCCCACUACUCUCAACUUCUUGCCGGUGGAAGAGAAUGAAUGAGGUGGUAACUGGAGUACAUGAAGCAGGAACCAGCUGGCUGCUUUGGCAGGAGCAAACUCCAUGCAGGCACUGUGGCAGCAUCCAGGCAGGGGUGCCUGUGAUUUCUGAAGCCCCAGAGGGUGUAUUACAGUGCUCUUUUAGCUCUGCCAUCUACAGAUGGCUUCAGUGUUAACAGCUAAGUGGGCCCUUUGCCUUUUAGUGUAAAGUGGCUGCCCUCCAUUAGAGAGGGCAAAGGGCCAGUGUGGCAGGCUAUUGUCUUGAUACUUGUUGCUACUGAGCUCUUGUCCAAUAUCUAGGAAAAAGAGAUGGCACAAACGAAUUGAAGGAUGGUAAAUGAGGGGGAUUUUAUUGCUGAUAAAAGUGGCUUUCAGUGGGAAAAGGAGCUGAAAAUGGGAUGAGGCAGGUAAGUAAUCUUUCCCUGAAGCAUGGCCAUCUCCAGUGGGAUUCUUCUACAAAGUUAUACUGUUAAGUUGGCUCUCUAAAAUCAAGCCACUCUUGCUGACAUCUAGCCAUAGUUUUGUGUACCAGCUGAGUCUGAGGUUUUUAUAGGCACAGGAUGGGGGGCACAGCAGGCCAUGGGUAGUUUAGGAAAAGGCAACAUUGGAGCAGGAAAAUAGGAAUAGAAAUUCUCACAUUGGGCUGCAAGUUUCAGGCUUUUCAGGUUGAAGGUGGGGUUUUGUCAGGGUCCCAUACAUAUCUGCCUAGAAUUUCUCUGCCUCCCAUCACUAUCACAACCACUCUGCUUUCCGGUAAAAACUCAACUAGGUUAUGAUGUAUUAUUUUUCAAAUACAUUACUCAAUUUUAUCUGCAUGUAUUUUAUUUAGAAUUUUUACAUCCAGUAUCACGAGUGUUUUUAGAUACUAGUGUAAGUUUUUCAUGAUAUUAUUAAUUUUUAAAGUUCGGAGGCAUCUGUUAAUAUCCCUUUUCCUCAUUGUAUCCUCUUAAUAACUUUUUGAGGUCUGCAGAAUCUGUAGUGAUAUCCCUUAUUUCAUUCCUAGCAUUGUUUAUGUGUGCCUACUUGCCUUUUUUCUUGAUCAGUCUCACCAGAAGCUUGUCAGUUUUAUUAGACUUUCAAAGAAACAGCUUUGGCU